AUUUGGUUAAGUUAGAAAGGGCGCACGGUGGAUGCCUUGACACUAGGAGUCGAUGAAGGACGGGACUAACGCCGAUAUGCUUCGGGGAGCUGUAAGUAAGCUUUGAUCCGAAGAUUUCCGAAUGGGGAAACCCACCAUACGUAAUGGUAUGGUAUCCUUAUCUGAAUACAUAGGGUAAGGAAGACAGACCCAGGGAACUGAAACAUCUAAGUACCUGGAGGAAGAGAAAGCAAAUGCGAUUUCCUGAGUAGCGGCGAGCGAAACGGAACAUAGCCCAAACCAAGAGGCUUGCCUCUUGGGGUUGUAGGACAUUCUAUACGGAGUUACAAAGGAAUGAGGUAGACGAAGCGACCUGGAAAGGUCCGUCGUAGAGGGUAACAACCCCGUAGUCGAAACUUCGUUCUCUCUUGAAUGUAUCCUGAGUACGGCGGAACACGUGAAAUUCCGUCGGAAUCUGGGAGGACCAUCUCCCAAGGCUAAAUACUCCCUAGUGAUCGAUAGUGAACCAGUACCGUGAGGGAAAGGUGAAAAGNACCCCGGAAGGGGAGUGAAAGAGAUCCUGAAACCGUGUGCCUACAAAUAGUCAGAGCCCGUUAACGGGUGAUGGCGUGCCUUUUGUAGAAUGAACCGGCGAGUUACGAUCCCGUGCGAGGUUAAGCUGAAGAGGCGGAGCCGCAGCGAAAGCGAGUCUGAAUAGGGCGUUUAGUACGUGGUCGUAGACCCGAAACCAGGUGAUCUACCCAUGUCCAGGGUGAAGUUCAGGUAACACUGAAUGGAGGCCCGAACCCACGCAUGUU
Molecule: ribosomal RNA, 797 nt
Filed under: Bacillus anthracis str. 95014
Lineage: Bacteria; Bacillati; Bacillota; Bacilli; Caryophanales; Bacillaceae
Description: bacterial LSU rRNA
Rfam family: Bacterial large subunit ribosomal RNA
Source: RNAcentral